Molecule: ribosomal RNA, 485 nt
Filed under: uncultured bacterium
Lineage: Bacteria
Description: partial 16S ribosomal RNA
Rfam family: Bacterial small subunit ribosomal RNA
Source: RNAcentral
GAUUGAACGCUGGCGGAAUGCUUUACACAUGCAAGUCGAGCGGCAGCGCGGCCUUCGGGCUGGCGGCGAUCGGCGAACGGGUGAUUAAUGCAUCGGAACAUGCCCAGUCGUGGGGGAUAACACUUCGAAAGAAGUGCUAAUACCGCAUACGUCCUGUGUGGGAAAGCGGGGGAUCUCAAUACCUCUCGCGUUUGGUGUGGCCUAUGUCUGAUUAGCGAGUUGGUGGGGUAAAGGCCUACCAAGGCGACGAUCUGUAGCUGGUCUGAGAGGAUGAUCAGCCACACUGGGACUGAGACACGGACCAGACUCCUACGGGAGGCAGCAGUGGGGAAUUUUGGACAAUGGGGGAAACCCUGAUCCAGCCAUUCCGCGUGAGUGAAGAAGGCCUUCGGGUUGUAAAGCUCUUUCGGCAGGAAAGAAACGGUGGGCUCUAAAAUAGUCCGCUAAUGACGGUACCUGAAGAAGAAGCACCGGCUAACUACGUG